UACGUAGGGGGCAAGCGUUAUCCGGAUUUACUGAGUGUAAAGGGAGCGUAGACGGAAUUGCAAGUCUGAUGUGAAAAUCCGGGGCCCAACCCCGGAACUGCAUUGGAAACUGUAUUUCUAGAGUGUCGGAGAGGCAAGUGGAAUUCCUGGUGUAGCGGUGAAAUGCGUAGAUAUCAGGAGGAACACCAGUGGCGAAGGCGGCUUGCUGGACGAUGACUGACGUUGAGGCUCGAAAGCGUGGGGAGCAAACAGG
This 253-nucleotide ribosomal RNA is filed under the name uncultured bacterium. RNAcentral describes it as "partial 16S ribosomal RNA". It matches the Rfam family "Bacterial small subunit ribosomal RNA", at positions 524 to 776 of the family's 1533-position model. The record is from RNAcentral.